CGAACGGGUGAGUAACACGUAGGUAACCUACCCUGUACAGGGGGAGUAACAGUCAGAAAUGACUGCUAAUACCGCAUAAGACCACAGCACCGCAUGGUGCAGGGGUAAAAAACUCCGGUGGUACAGGAUGGACCCGCGUCUGAUUAGCUGGUUGGUGAGGUAACGGCUCACCAAGGCGACGAUCAGUAGCCGGCUUGAGAGAGUGAACGGCCACAUUGGGACUGAGACACGGCCCAGACUCCUACGGGAGGCAGCAUG
RNAcentral lists this ribosomal RNA (258 nucleotides) under uncultured bacterium. RNAcentral's name for it is "partial 16S ribosomal RNA". It matches the Rfam family "Bacterial small subunit ribosomal RNA", at positions 99 to 353 of the family's 1533-position model. The record is from RNAcentral.